UACGUAGGGUGCGAGCGUUGUCCGGAUUUAUUGGGCGUAAAGAGCUCGUAGGCGGUUUGUCGCGUCGGCCGUGAAAUCUCCACGCUUAACGUGGAGCGUGCGGUCGAUACGGGCAGACUUGAGUUCGGUAGGGGAGACUGGAAUUCUUGGUGUAGCGGUGAAAUGCGCAGAUAUCAGGAGGAACACCGGUGGCGAAGGCGGGUCUCUGGGCCUUUCCUGACGCUGAGACGCGAAAGCGUGGGGAGCGAACCGG
Molecule: ribosomal RNA, 253 nt
Filed under: uncultured bacterium
Lineage: Bacteria
Description: partial 16S ribosomal RNA
Rfam family: Bacterial small subunit ribosomal RNA
Source: RNAcentral